CUCAAGACUCUCCAGGGCAUUCAUGGCAGGAAAUCAAAGAGAAUCAGCACAUUCAACUCUAGAAAAAUACAGCAGGCUCACCCCAAUAUGGAUAGUUGAAACCAGGACAACUAGAUAUACUUAAGAGAAAAUAGUGCUUUACAAGGUUGAGAAAGGCAGAAAUUUAAAAAAAUAUUGAAUUAUGCGCAGUAUGCACAAUGCACCCUCCUACUCUUAAUACAGGAAGAAAUAGAAUGAAGAUGUGUCCUCAAGGCUAGUGCUUGUGUGCCAAUAUUUAUCAAAAUAAGGUCUUUAACUCCACACGUAGUUCAUUUUAGGCAUUUUCUAUUCUUCUCAAAAUAGUUGGAGAUAGUUAUUCUAAGGAUAUUUCAACUUCUAGAAAUAGAGAUCAUUGAAAAAGUGAAAAGAAAGAUAAAAUAAUUUUUUCCUGUCUUGACAAAUAGUCUCCAAUAUAAGAUAUACCCAUAAAGAUAGGACUGGGAACUUCAAGAUAUGGGUACUCACACGACCAUAAACGGAACAUCUUGUGUUGAAACACAGCACAUUGGAUGAAUAGGAGCACUUUGUUUAGAAUAUAGGUUAUUUGAGCACCUACAAACCCCGUCUGUAGUAGGAAUUUCCUUCGUUGCUUUUGGAUUCAGAAAGCGAAGGUGCUGAUGUACCCUCCGCAGGAGGAGAUAAGUUGCCGGUGCUCUAAAGGAAACACUGUGAAGUUCAGAGACGUGGGCGUGUCGGGGCCUGGAAGGCAAAGGUCUAUCUCUCUAGACACCUGCAGGGGCUUGACUUUCUCAACUUGUGCUUCCUAGCUCAUUCUUUGCUGAUAGCACCUCCCUAAUCUUUGAUUUCUGCUUUUAAGGAUCUUUUAAAGCUGUGUGUCCUUCCUUUUCAGCUUCACAUUUGGCAGCCAUUUUUACCUCCAGCGAGUUUUAAAGAGGAGUCUGGGGCUUAGAGAGUUGAAGCACCGCUUUGCCAAAGUUUCACAUCCGCAAAGGGACAUCCCCAGAGGAUCCCCGAGUGCUCACCUUCAGCACCCUAACUUCUUGGUCCAAAACCUGCUCAUCAUGGAAGCGCUGAUCCUCCACGAACUGGUGUAUGCUCUGCCCAGUGUCCUCACUUCCCCCUUACAGUCCCCCUGGGGCUGAAGGCUCUGCUCCAGGAGGGUGUCCAGCCUCUAUGCAGGGGUCUCAUCCAGGUCCUGGGAAGCUCCAUCUCUGCAGGACCAGGCUGUCCUUGGAAUAAACCUUCUUUUUUUGAAGAGGGCACCUUCUAACCUUUCUCCAGAAAACUAACAGUCUAGAGAGGGGGAAGGAGAGUGGGGAGGGGGAGAGGGAUUUAUCGUCCUCCCCUCGGGGUGAAGGGCUGGGGCGUCUUCCCUGCAGCACGUUGCUCCCUUGCCUGGGCUGCCUGCGCUCAGUAGCCAGCCUCCUUACUGGUCCUCCCUGCUCUCCUGACAUUUGGAGAUUGAAAGUGAAUUUGUAGAGUUGGAAUUUUCUCUUUCUAUUCAAGGCUGCCAAGAAAAAAGCCCAGGAGGUGGAGGCCUCCCGCGGGCUUCCCCACAGGCUCUCAGCCCGGGGAUUUUCAAGUGUCCUGGAGCUGGCCUCUCCCCUCUCCCCAUUUCCUGCUGCGUGAGGAGGAGACCUUGACCCCUAAGGCAGCUCUGGCAGCUGGAGAGCGUCUGCUCCUGGGGUGGGAGCCGCUGGCUGCCUGGAGUGAGGGAUGCAGAGGCUCCGCCUGAGCCUGGGGCCUGGGGCCUGAGACUGAAUGAUUUCUUUAUAUUUGAAAACAAGGCAUCUACAACUAUUAUUGCUUGUUUUGUUCCUUAUUAUAUGAG
Long non-coding RNA from Equus asinus (donkey), 1831 nucleotides. NCBI's taxonomy places the organism in Eukaryota, Metazoa, Chordata, Mammalia, Perissodactyla, Equidae. The record is from Ensembl.